UAUGUUUUCCGUUGUCUGCUUUGACAAUUCCGAGGAGGUGGAGGUUGUGCCAACGCAAUGGUACAAUAAUGGGGCAUGCAGGUGGCCCCCCCACAAGGCUGAGGGAGUCAAUCGGGCCAUAAGGCAGCUGGAGGAGCCCCAGGAUACCUGGCCUCUAUUCGACAAUGCCAGGUUUUUUUUUUUCUUCAGAUAACUAUCUGGAGUGUCGCCAGAAGCUGCCACUGGCUCAAAACCAGACGGAUUUGGCAUCAGAGGCCGAAGACCUAACACCAGACCGGAGACCCAAAAGAAAAAUCAAGCCAAGUAGACACGUCCGAAUGGACUUUGAAAGUCAAGACCCCUGCAGUCCUCCAAGGAAACAGGCCUUCCAAAUCCUCCCUAAGGCCACUGCUAUCUCUGGACCGUCCAACAUCAGGCGCUUCAUAGUAGCGCAGCCCACGCAAAGUGGGUGUUAUGAGGUCCCUGUGACCAAUGAGCAGCCUCAGGGUUUUCAGGUAGUAGAAUUGCAGAAGCUAUUUAAUUUCGCUUUUUUA
This is a long non-coding RNA of Gadus macrocephalus (Pacific cod), 533 nucleotides long. RefSeq lists it as uncharacterized. The record is from RefSeq and is a predicted model, not a curated record. The transcript has 3 exons. Lineage: Eukaryota; Metazoa; Chordata; Actinopteri; Gadiformes; Gadidae.